GUUAUUAUACAACUUUAAGUGCAGUGUUGUGCAGUGCUCAAAAAUUGGAUUAUUAUCAAAAGCAGUCGACUACCCAUGGAUUACCAAUCUUCCAGAUUCCAGAUUCAACAAAUGAUGGCAGCACUAAUCGGAUGGACUUGGAGAUAGAUGUUAAUUGUUGCGACAAUUACAAAAGCAACAGCAGGCCGCCUACCAGUACACAUAAAUUUAUCUUGAUCGGGGUGAUCUAUUAAGAUGUUUAAGAAGAUGUAUCAACACCAA
Long non-coding RNA from Nilaparvata lugens (brown planthopper), 261 nucleotides. RefSeq lists it as uncharacterized. The record is from RefSeq and is a predicted model, not a curated record. Lineage: Eukaryota; Metazoa; Arthropoda; Insecta; Hemiptera; Delphacidae. The transcript is spliced from 2 exons.